GACGAACGCUGGCGGCGUGCCUAAUACAUGCAAGUUGAGCGCUGAAGGUUGGUACUUGUACCAACUGGAUGAGCAGCGAACGGGUGAGUAACGCGUGGGGAAUCUGCCUUUGAGCGGGGGACAACAUUUGGAAACGAAUGCUAAUACCGCAUAAAAACUUUAAACACAAGUUUUAAGUUUGAAAGAUGCAAUUGCAUCACUCAAAGAUGAUCCCGCGUUGUAUUAGCUAGUUGGUGAGGUAAAGGCUCACCAAGGCGAUGAUACAUAGCCGACCUGAGAGGGGGAGCGGCCACAUUGGGACUGGGACACGGCCCAAACUCCUGCGGGAGGCAGCAGUAGGGAAUCGUGGGCAAUGGACGAAAGUCUGAACGAGCAACGCCGCGUGAGUGAAGAAGGUUGUCGGAUCGUAAAACUCUGUUGGUAGAGAAGAACGUUGGUGAGAGUGGAAAGCUCAUCAAGUGACGGUAACUACCCAGAAAGGGACGGCUAACUACGUG
This 497-nucleotide ribosomal RNA is filed under the name uncultured bacterium. RNAcentral's name for it is "partial 16S ribosomal RNA". It matches the Rfam family "Bacterial small subunit ribosomal RNA", at positions 28 to 507 of the family's 1533-position model. The record is from RNAcentral.